This is a long non-coding RNA of Felis catus (domestic cat), 1206 nucleotides long. RefSeq lists it as uncharacterized. NCBI's taxonomy places the organism in Eukaryota, Metazoa, Chordata, Mammalia, Carnivora, Felidae. The transcript is spliced from 3 exons. The record is from RefSeq and is a predicted model, not a curated record.
AAUGUCAGAUUCAUCUCCUUAGAAUGCUACCGACCUUCAAAGACCAUUUUAAACGAGGCUUUCGGUCCCAGCCUCCUGUACUUUCAGAGUAGGGUUCUGGCAUCUUGCUUACCCCACCCACGUUAUCCUAUUUAGUUAUUUUGGAACAAAUUCAAAGGUUUUCCUCCCCGAUUCCCCCUUCAGGGCUCAGGAACCCAUAGCCCUGCUGUUGGAAACAUUGACAACAAUUGGCAUCAGCUGCUGGGAGCUGCCUCUCCCAAGAUUUCGUCCCUCCCAGAUGGUAGCCCCGGGCCAACGACUGGAUACUGAAGUUUCCUUGCCUCAGCUGGGGACAAUGCCGAAGAAUUAAACCAGCUCCGGAGUCCCCCACACAACUGCAGGACAGGCCAAGGCUUCGGCUGCAACUUAUGAGUGUUUUCAUGGAAUGUCAUUGCUCAAGCCGUAGUGAACCCCUAGAAUGGGACACAAUUUACCUCUUGGGGAAAGUGUAAUCCCAAGCAUGAAGUGAAUCCAGCCUCCAACCUCUGAGGAUUGGUCCUCAUCCUCACCUGCGGGAAAAUCAGACGCAUGAGAAUCUGCAUAUUAUGCAAAAGAUGAUGAAACUGAGGUUUGGAGAGGUAAAGCCAUAUUUUACAGGACUCUGUCACAGGCUGGGAGAGGAGCUUGGAACUGGAAUCCAGUUCAUCUGAUCCAGUGAUUUUGAACUUUACCAUGUUUACUACAGAAUAAUUAAGGGAUACUGUUCAAUAAAGUAAACCUCAAGUGAAAUAACUCAUCAUGCAGCCAUUUUUCAAGGAAAUGUACCAGAGAAUCUGUAUCAGAAUUGACCUUGGAAACAUCCAGUUCAACAUCCUAGUAUUUCAGGAAUCCCCUUAGAGUUCACAGGUAAAGAGUAUAUUAGAAUAAUGCCAGCUGCUAUAAUGAAACAACCCACAAAGUUUAAUGGCUGAACAGAAUUAAAGUUUACUUCUCAUUUAACAAUAUAAGUAUGACUAAUUGGGGGCAGUCUUCCACAAGGUAACUCGGAUACCCAGACUCCUUGGAUCUGAUGGCCUCCCUACUGUAGGGUCAUCUAUGUGCCGGAGGAGGAUGAGGGAAAGAAGAAACAGAAAAGACAUCUUAAUCUUGGUCUUGAGAGAAUAUGCCUUACCUCCUCUCACAUUCCAUUGGUUAGAGCCCUUCAUAUGGGGGCGCCUGAGCAUCUCA